CAUGCUUGUUCCACUCUAGCAGCACGUAAAUAUUGGCGUAGUGAAGUAAAUAUUAGACCCCAAUAUUAUUGUGCUGCUUUAGUGUGACAGGGAUA
Molecule: microRNA precursor, 95 nt
Organism: Loxodonta africana (African savanna elephant)
Lineage: Eukaryota; Metazoa; Chordata; Mammalia; Proboscidea; Elephantidae
Gene: MIR16-2
Product: microRNA 16-2
Source: Ensembl